GCACUACCCUUCCCUUCUUCCCCGACGUUGCAGACGAGGAGACGUUCGUCCUCUUGAAUAUCGUCGAAGAAAUCCGUCUUUUACCGGUUCUUCCGUAAACAGAUCGGACGAAUAAAAUGUAUUCAGGCAAACGCAAGGCGAGUUCCUGCCUACCUACGUGGCUGCAUAUGCUAAUGUUCCCUCGUCCUCUUCACCGUAGCAGAAGCGGUUCACGGACCAGAUGUGCAACGUGAUGCAACAGUUGUAACUUCUGCUUCAGAACAGCAACGCGAUACUGCACGCUUUUCGUCGACCAUCUAUGUAUCUCGACAGUUACGAUAUCCGUCUUCCUCUACUCUGCAAGGACGAUUUCAAAUAUGGACUGAUUUAACAUUCGCCGGAAGAAAAAUCUAAUUAAAAAUACCUACGUAAAAUAUAAUAUAUAAAUUAAAAAUCCGAGUGACGAACAGUUUACAUUAUGGUUUUGCGAUAGACGACUAUCGUUGCGCGCUUUUCAAUCUUUCUAUUUUAUAAGGUGACGGCACCGUCAUCGUAACUUCGAUGCUAUCUACAUACAUAAUCGCAAAACAAGCUUACGAUGUAACGCGAUCUAUAACCUAUGUAGGAAUAUAUCUAACAAGAAAGUAUAAUUCUACUAGAAGUAGAUACAUAUAAGAUACAUACAUUAUUCAUGUACACUAUUUUCAAAGAUCCAAAAAUCAUUAGAUAGCAAAAUAUAAUUUUAGAAUCGUUUAACGAUAAUCAUCUUUAAACGAUGCGGCCUUUUCGAUCACGAUGAACAGAAUGAAAAUACAUAUGCACGUAUCUAGGUA
Molecule: long non-coding RNA, 812 nt
Organism: Vespula vulgaris
Lineage: Eukaryota; Metazoa; Arthropoda; Insecta; Hymenoptera; Vespidae
Exons: 3
Source: RefSeq, a predicted model, not a curated record